CCCUUAGAUGUUCUGGGCCGCACGCGCGCUACACUGACGCAUUCAACGAGUCUAAAACCUGGUCUGAUAGGGCUGGGUAAUCUUUUGAAUGUGCGUCGUGAUUGGGAUAAAUGAUUGUAAUUCUUCAUUUUCAACGAGGAAUGCCUAGUAGGCGCAAGUCAUCAGCUUGCGUCGAUUACGUCCCUGCCCUUUGUACACACCGCCCGUCGCUCCUACCGAUUGGGUGUGCUGGUGAAAUGUUCGGAUCGGCCGUUUGUCGCGGUUUCCGCGUCAUGUGGCUGAGAAGUUCAUUAAACCCUCCCACCUAGAGGAAGGAGAAGUCGUAACA
This 328-nucleotide ribosomal RNA is filed under the name uncultured eukaryote. Its description in RNAcentral is "partial 18S ribosomal RNA". It matches the Rfam family "Eukaryotic small subunit ribosomal RNA", at positions 1470 to 1796 of the family's 1831-position model. The record is from RNAcentral.